Molecule: unclassified non-coding RNA, 279 nt
Filed under: Hevea brasiliensis (rubber tree)
Lineage: Eukaryota; Viridiplantae; Streptophyta; Magnoliopsida; Malpighiales; Euphorbiaceae
Source: RNAcentral
AGCAAAUGAAAAAGCCUACAACUGCAUGCAUGGAAUUGAAAUGAGCAAAAGAUCCACAUGACCACCACUAAGUAUCGAGGAGGUCAAAUAUUUCCCACAACCACCAGUGAGCGUAGGAAAAUUUGCCUACGAAGUACUAUGACAGCAUGAGACCCUAAUGCACUCAUUUAAAUCUUCAUUGACACAAAACAAAUGGUAUAUUGAACAACUACAAUCUUUCACAUUCAAGAUCAUUUUCCAUACCAAUAACCUAACAUCUUGUUUUCAUGGGGUGAACUG